RNAcentral lists this transfer RNA (71 nucleotides) under Gammaproteobacteria bacterium. RNAcentral's name for it is "tRNA-His". It matches the Rfam family "tRNA". From Rfam's summary of the family: Transfer RNA (tRNA) molecules are approximately 80 nucleotides in length. Their secondary structure includes four short double-helical elements and three loops (D, anti-codon, and T loops). Lineage: Bacteria; Pseudomonadati; Pseudomonadota; Gammaproteobacteria. The record is from RNAcentral.
GAGAUUAUAGUUUAGUGGUAAAACCCUGCACUGUGGCUGCAGGUUCGUGGGUUCGAAUCCCGCUAAUCUCC